This is a long non-coding RNA of Drosophila montana, 1208 nucleotides long. RefSeq lists it as uncharacterized. NCBI's taxonomy places the organism in Eukaryota, Metazoa, Arthropoda, Insecta, Diptera, Drosophilidae. The record is from RefSeq and is a predicted model, not a curated record. The transcript has 3 exons.
UUUUAGCACAUUUUUGCAACGCGACGCGUUUGUGUAGCUUCUGCUAAAAUUUUUUUUACGGUGACAAAAACAACAUUAAAGCCAAACGCAAAAAGCCAUUUUGUUGUGUGCGUGUGCAUCCUGUGCAACACAAAUCGUUGCUAAUAGGAUACUUUUUUUUUGUUUGUUUUUGUUGUUAGCCAAAUAAGCUGCCUCUCCAGCACUAACGGAUUGCAGCUGCAAAGCAAAAAGACAAACUUAACCUCGCAGCGUUUGCAAAAAAAGAAGAAAAGAAAGAAAAACGCAAAGCAAAGUGGCUAAGAAAGAAGAGAGAGAGCGAGCUACUUGUGUAAAGAAAAGUGUUUGUUACAGUACCUAUUUUUCCAUCCCCCUGCCCAUUCAUCCGAUUGUUUGACAUCAAAAUUCCAACAACAACAAAAUAUAAGUAAAAUAAACGGCAAGUGAAACAAAAACGAAAUAAAAAAAACACCAAACACCGGCAAGCAAAGCAAAAAGUCACACAUACAUAUGCACAUAUGUGUGUAUGUCUGUAUGUAUGCAUUAAUGUUACUUUGGAAUGUUUUUGUAUAAAGGAUAUUGCGAUUUGUAUGUAAACAUUGCUAUUUAGCCGGCUUUGCUAAGAGAGCGUCAAAUUCGUGGAACAUUCGAUGUUUUUGCAUUUCUAUGGACUGCGAUAAUUUAACCCUAGAUAGCCUGUCUCUCAAAGUUUCCAAUUGGAUUUCCCAGUUUGCUAAUUGGCAACAGCUGUGCAACAUGCAAAUCUUGAUAAAAGCCAACUUUGGUUUUACAUUGAAAACCUUAUUUGCCACACGAUCGUCAUGGCGUUGACAAUUGUUGUUAUUGCGGUUGCCUCUCGACUCAGGCGAUUCGAUUGCAAACAGUACAAUAUUAAUAACAUUAUUAAUUGAUAAAAACAAGUCAAAAAAAAAAACAAAUCAAAAAACAAAUUUCGGGCAGACACACAAAAACAAAAAUUUAUAAAAACGUAAACAAUCAAAAACUCAAACAAAUCGGAAAACUUGAACGAAGGAAUAAAAUGGAUCAUUUUCAAACCUCGCUGAAUCCGCGCAAACAGGAGCUGCUCGAAGCACGUUUUAUUGGCGUCAGGGUGAGUUUCUCUUGCAACUAGAACCAAUUUCCAGCUGAAAUCCAGCCAUCCAAUGAAUCGGGCCUACGCAAAAAAAAAAAAAGAAAAGAAAAGAAACAAA